Molecule: ribosomal RNA, 446 nt
Filed under: uncultured bacterium
Lineage: Bacteria
Description: partial 16S ribosomal RNA
Rfam family: Bacterial small subunit ribosomal RNA
Source: RNAcentral
CCUACGGGUGGCAGCAGUCGAGAAUCAUUCACAAUGGGGGAAACCCUGAUGGUGCGACGCCGCGUGGGGGAAUGAAGGUCUUCGGAUUGUAAACCCCUGUCAUGUGGGAGCAAAUUAAAAAGAUAGUACCACAAGAGGAAGAGACGGCUAACUCUGUGCCAGCAGCCGCGGUAAUACAGAGGUCUCAAGCGUUGUUCGGAAUCACUGGGCGUAAGGCGUGCGUAGGCUGUUUCGUAAGUCGUGUGUGAAAGGCGCGGGCUCAACCCGCGGACGGCACAUGAUACUGCGAGACUAGAGUAAUGGAGGGGGAACCGGAAUUCUCGGUGUAGCAGUGAAAUGCGUAGAUAUCGAGAGGAACACUCGUGGCGAAGGCGGGUUCCUGGACAGUAACUGACGCUGAGGCACGAAGGCCAGGGGAGCGAAAGGGAUUAGAUACCCGUGUAGUC